This 48-nucleotide transfer RNA is filed under the name Ascophyllum nodosum. RNAcentral describes it as "partial tRNA-Lys". It matches the Rfam family "tRNA", at positions 1 to 45 of the family's 71-position model. From Rfam's summary of the family: Transfer RNA (tRNA) molecules are approximately 80 nucleotides in length. Their secondary structure includes four short double-helical elements and three loops (D, anti-codon, and T loops). The record is from RNAcentral. Lineage: Eukaryota; Phaeophyceae; Fucales; Fucaceae.
UGGGUGUAUAACUCAGUUGGUUAGAGUGGUGGACUUUUAAUCCGAAGG